Molecule: transfer RNA, 88 nt
Filed under: Deltaproteobacteria bacterium
Lineage: Bacteria; Pseudomonadati; Myxococcota; Myxococcia
Description: tRNA-Ser
Rfam family: tRNA
About the family: Transfer RNA (tRNA) molecules are approximately 80 nucleotides in length. Their secondary structure includes four short double-helical elements and three loops (D, anti-codon, and T loops).
Source: RNAcentral
GGAGAGAUGUCCGAGUGGUUUAAGGUGCUCGCUUGGAAAGCGGGUGUACUCCAAAAGAGUACCCGGGGUUCGAAUCCCCGUCUCUCCG